GGAAUAUUGGUCAAUGGUCGGAAGACUGAACCAGCCAAGUAGCGUGCAGGAUGACGGCCCUAUGGGUUGUAAACUGCUUUUGUGCGGGAAUAACGGUCUCCUCGUGAGGGGAUGUGCAUGUACCGUACGAAUAAGGAUCGGCUAACUCCGUGCCAGCAGCCGCGGUAAUACGGAAGGUCCGGGCGUUAUCCGGAUUUAUUGGGUUUAAAGGGAGCGCAGGCUGAUUAUUAAGCGUGACGUGAAAUGUAGCCGCUCAACGGCUGAACUGCGUCGCGAACUGGUAGUCUUGAGUGAGUUCGAUGUUGGCGGAAUUCGUGGUGUAGCGGUGAAAUGCUCAGAUAUCACGAAGAACUCCGAUUGCGAAGGCAGCCAACAAGGCCUUUACUGACGCUAAAGCUCGAAGGUGCGGGUAUCGAACA
This 419-nucleotide ribosomal RNA is filed under the name uncultured Prevotella sp. Its description in RNAcentral is "bacterial SSU rRNA". It matches the Rfam family "Bacterial small subunit ribosomal RNA", at positions 358 to 774 of the family's 1533-position model. Lineage: Bacteria; Pseudomonadati; Bacteroidota; Bacteroidia; Bacteroidales; Prevotellaceae. The record is from RNAcentral.